AAGUCGUAACAAGGUUUCCGUAGGUGAACCUGCGGAAGGAUCAUUAACACUCCAAAACAAACUCAUUACUCUUGGCAACAAGGGUAUAUGAAACCCUAUUCACAAGCGAACCCGAAGGGAAACACGUGAGAAGGCGAGACUUUCCGGUUUCAAUCUCUCACUGUUUUUCUCCUUCAACAUUUUCUUUUGUCCCUUUUUUUUCUUUUAAGCCCCACACAUUUUACUUUUAGACUGACUGAGACGCAAGUCUCGUUGUACUUCGAAAGAAGCGCAAUGAAAAUCGAUAAGAUUAACAAAAAAAACAACUCUUAGCAACGGAUAUCUUGGUUCUC
Molecule: unclassified non-coding RNA, 332 nt
Filed under: fungal sp.
Lineage: Eukaryota; Fungi
Description: partial internal transcribed spacer region
Rfam family: Eukaryotic small subunit ribosomal RNA (bases 1-46)
Source: RNAcentral